CUCAGUGGGUACAGAGGCCCCAAGAAGUGAACCCAGGACCUUCUGAUGUAGGUCCAGUCUCCCCACCACUGCACCAAGGGAGUUUCCCUUCCUACCCAGGUAGUGGAAGGAAUGGGACAGAGUGGAAGAUGAGAGAGGAAAACUCUGCCUAACCUCACUCAAAUCUUUUAUCUACAUAGAAAAAAAUGACAAACCCAGCUCUCCAGUAGUGCCCAGUUCCAUCUGACAGACUCCUGGCCAGUCAGGGCUACUGAGCCAGGGCCCUUCAUGCUCCAGCUCUGGCCCCAGCUCGGUUCUCCCAACCUCAGAGCCCCCAUCUUCCUGUCAGAAAGGCCAACCAACAGACUUGUACCAAAAAUUCACUUCACCUGGUGUACUGUGCUCACUGAUUUGAGGGGAUGCAAAAGAGACAGGAUGAAAAAAACCUUGCCCUGGA
Long non-coding RNA from Tupaia belangeri chinensis (Chinese tree shrew), 436 nucleotides. RefSeq lists it as uncharacterized. NCBI's taxonomy places the organism in Eukaryota, Metazoa, Chordata, Mammalia, Scandentia, Tupaiidae. The record is from RefSeq and is a predicted model, not a curated record. The transcript is spliced from 4 exons.